Molecule: ribosomal RNA, 1981 nt
Filed under: human oral metagenome
Description: bacterial LSU rRNA
Rfam family: Bacterial large subunit ribosomal RNA
Source: RNAcentral
AAAAGCUAAUAAGGGCACACGGAGGAUGCCUAGGCAGCAACAGCCGAUGAAGGACGUGAUAAGCUGCGAUAAGCCGGGAGAAGAUGCACAUAAUCAUUGAUCCCCGGAUUUCCGAAUGGGUAAACCUGCAUGCCUGGAGGGCAUGCGUGAAAACGGCAAGCCUGCGAACUGAAACAUCUAAGUAGCAGGAGGAAAAGAAAGUAAAAACGAUUCCCCAAGUAGCGGCGAGCGAACAGGGAAAAGCCUAAACCGUGCCAGUGUCAAGCGGACAGCGUUGCUGGCACGGGGUUGCGGGACUUCCAUUAACGGAUUGUCAUAAUGUUUAAUCUGUAUAUGUGUAAGUGGAAUCAGUUGGGAAGCUGGACCAGAGAAGGUGAAAGUCCUGUAGAACAUAAAACAUAUAUGGAGACUGGAAGCACCCGAGUAGCGUCAGGCACGAGGAAUCUGGCGUGAAUCAGCGUGGACCAAAUCACGUAAGGCUAAAUACUGUUGUUGACCGAUAGUGAAGAGUACCGUGAGGGAAAGGUGAAAAGAACCCUGAGCAAGGGAGUGAAACAGAAUUUGAAACCGUGUGCUUACAAACGGUAGGAGCACGUUAUGUGUGACUGCGUGGAUUUUGGUUAAUCAUCCUGCGAGUUAUGGCUGGUGGCAAGGUUAAUAGACGGAGCCGAAGGGAAACCAAGUCUUAAUAGGGCGUCAAGUCGCCAGUCAUAGACGCGAAACCUAGUGAUCUAGGCCUGUCCAGGCUGAAGCUGAGGUAAGACUCAGUGGAGGGCCGAACUCACCGCCGUUGAAAAGUUGGGAGAUGAGAUAGGUCUAGGGGUGAAAAGCCAAUCGAACUAGGAGAUAGCUCGUUCUCUCCGAAAUGCAUUUAGGUGCAGCCUUGAACUGAGAUAUGUGGGGGUAGAGCUCUGUAUGAUCUAGGGGGCGUACUGCUUACCGAAAUCAAGCAAACUGCGAAUACCAUAUAUCAUGUUCAGGAGUGAGUCCGUGGAUGACAAGGUCCUCGGACGAGAGGGGAACAGCCCAGACCGCCAGCUAAGGUCCCUAAUUAUGUCUAAGUGGGAAAGGAGGUGGACAUUCAUAGACAACCAGGAGGUUGGCUUAGAAGCAGCCAUGCCUUGAAAGAGUGCGUAAUAGCUCACUGGUCGAGAGUGCCUGCGCCGAAGAUGUAACGGGGCUAAGACAUAAACCGAAGCUGCGGAAGAUACACUGUAUCUUGGUAGGAGAGCGUUCUGUAGGCCGUCGAAGGGAUGCCGCAAGGCCGUCCUGGAGGUAUCAGAAGCGAGAAUGCAGGAAUGAGUAGCGAGAAGGCGGGCGAGAAUCCCGCCGGCCGGAAGUCCAAGGUUUCCAGGGGAAGGCUUGUCCGCCCUGGGGAAGUCGGGACCUAAGCAUAAGCAAAAUUGUGAUGGCGAAUGGAAAACAGGUUAAUAUUCCUGUACCGCUGUUAUCGCUUGAGAGACGGAGUGACGCAGGAAGGUAUGCGAGAAGGCUGACGGUUUAGCCUUUCUAAGGGCCCAGCGUGGGCGUGCAGGUAAAUCCGCACGCCUAAACGUGAGACCUGACGGGGAAGUGCAUUUGCAUAAGUCGCAGAUCCUACACUGCCAAGAAAAACUUCUAUCGAUGAGAAGCAGCGCCCGUACUGUAAACCGACACAGGUGGACAGAGUGAGAAACUUAAGGCCGACAGGAUAACUCUAGCUAAGGAACUCUGCAAAAUAGCCCCGUAACUUCGGGAGAAGGGGUGCCUGACAUACCUGAAGGAGAGAAGCGCUCCCAGGGGAAACAGGCCGCAGUGAAGAGUCUCAAGCAACUGUUUACCAAAAACACAGGUCUAUGCUAAGCUGAAAGGCGACGUAUAUGGGCUGACACCUGCCCAGUGCCGGAAGGUUAAGAGGAGGAGUGAGAGCUCCGAUUUGAAGCCCCGGUGAACGGCGGCCGUAACUAUAACGGUCCUAAGGUAGCGAAAUUCCUUGUCGGGU